GAGUGAAUAUUUACAACUUGAGAUUAAUGAAAAGAGGGGAAAAUGAUACUGACUGGGAUUAGGUCAGUGGAAGCGGUUAUCCAAUGCUGACUAGCUUCCAGUAGGGGUCGGCGUUUGCUCCGGGUAAGGGGUUUUGAUUUAGGGAGGUGGGAUCU
This 155-nucleotide ribosomal RNA is filed under the name Conticribra weissflogii. RNAcentral describes it as "partial Eukaryotic large subunit ribosomal RNA". The record is from RNAcentral. Lineage: Eukaryota; Bacillariophyta; Thalassiosirophyceae; Thalassiosirales; Thalassiosiraceae.